RNAcentral lists this ribosomal RNA (448 nucleotides) under uncultured bacterium. RNAcentral's name for it is "bacterial SSU rRNA". It matches the Rfam family "Bacterial small subunit ribosomal RNA", at positions 355 to 825 of the family's 1533-position model. The record is from RNAcentral.
UGGGGAAUAUUGGACAAUGGGCGCAAGCCUGAUCCAGCCAUGCCGCGUGAGUGACGAAGGUCUUCGGAUUGUAAAGCUCUUUUUGGCGGGGACGAUAAUGACGGUACCCGCAGAAUAAGCCCCGGCUAACUUCGUGCCAGCAGCCGCGGUAAUACGAAGGGGGCUAGCGUUGUUCGGAAUUACUGGGCGUAAAGCGCACGUAGGCGGACUGAUAAGUCAGGGGUGAAAUCCCGGGGCUCAACCUCGGAACUGCCUUUGAUACUGUUAGUCUCGAGUCCGGAAGAGGUGAGUGGAAUUCCUAGUGUAGAGGUGAAAUUCGUAGAUAUUAGGAAGAACACCGGUGGCGAAGGCGGCCCACUGGCUCGAUACUGACGCUGAGGUGCGAAAGCGUGGGGAGCAAACAGGAUUAGAUACCCACGUAGUCCCUGAGCGGGCUGGCAAGGCGCAU